RNAcentral lists this ribosomal RNA (393 nucleotides) under uncultured eukaryote. Its description in RNAcentral is "partial 18S ribosomal RNA". It matches the Rfam family "Eukaryotic small subunit ribosomal RNA", at positions 592 to 976 of the family's 1831-position model. The record is from RNAcentral.
CGAUAGUGUAUAUUAAAGUUGUUGCAGUUAAAAAGCUCGUAGUUGGAUUUCUGGCUGCGUGCGCUUUGUCCGCGUCUCUCCGAGGCGUGUGUACGUUGCGCACGAGUCACACCUUCCAGAGGUCCGGGCCGCUCUUGGUUGAGUCGGCCGUGGCACGUCUGGAUCGUUUACUUUGAGAAAAUUAGAGUGUUCAAGGCAGGCACGAGUUGCCGUGAAUAUGUUAGCAUGGAAUAAUAGGAUAGGACUUUGGUCGUAUUUUGUUGGUUUCUACAGCCGAAGUAAUGAUUGAUAGGGACGGUUGGGGGUGCUAGUAUUCCGCGGCCAGAGGUGAAAUUCAGUGAUUCGCGGAGGACUGACUUAUGCGAAAGCAUUCACCAAGGACGUCUUCUUUAA